UUGAAGGUUGGGUAACACUAACUGGAGGACCGAACCGACUAAUGUUGAAAAAUUAGCGGAUGACCUGUGGCUGGGGGUGAAAGGCCAAUCAAACCGGGAGAUAGCUGGUUCUCCCCGAAAGCUAUUUAGGUAGCGCCUCGUGAAUUCAUCUCCGGGGGUAGAGCACUGUUUCGGCUAGGGGGCCAUCCCGGCUUACCAACCCGAUGCAAACUGCGAAUACCGGAGAAUGUUAUCACGGGAGACACACGGCGGGUGCUAACGUCCGUCGUGAAGAGGGAAACAACCCAGACCGCCAGCUAAGGUCCCAAAGUCAUGGUUAAGUGGGAAACGAUGUGGGAAGGCCCAGACAGCCAGGAUGUUGGCUUAGAAGCAGCCAUCAUUUAAAGAAAGCGUAAUAGCUCACUGGUCGAGUCGGCCUGCGCGGAAGAUGUAACGGGGCUAAACCAUGCACCGAAGCUGCGGCAGCGACACUGUGUGUUGUUGGGUAGGGGAGCGUUCUGUAAGCCUGUGAAGGUGUGUCGUGAGGCAUGCUGGAGGUAUCAGAAGUGCGAAUGCUGACAUAAGUAACGAUAAAGCGGGUGAAAAGCCCGCUCGCCGGAAGACCAAGGGUUCCUGUCCAACGUUAAUCGGGGCAGGGUGAGUCGACCCCUAAGGCGAGGCCGAAAGGCGUAGUCGAUGGGAAACGGGUUAAUAUUCCCGUACUUGGUGUUACUGCGAAGGGGGGACGGAGAAGGCUAUGUUGGCCGGG
RNAcentral lists this ribosomal RNA (748 nucleotides) under Salmonella enterica. Its description in RNAcentral is "partial 23S ribosomal RNA". It matches the Rfam family "Bacterial large subunit ribosomal RNA", at positions 745 to 1495 of the family's 2925-position model. Lineage: Bacteria; Pseudomonadati; Pseudomonadota; Gammaproteobacteria; Enterobacterales; Enterobacteriaceae. The record is from RNAcentral. RNAcentral also lists the same sequence under 1 other name.